Molecule: long non-coding RNA, 1019 nt
Filed under: Parus major (Great Tit)
Lineage: Eukaryota; Metazoa; Chordata; Aves; Passeriformes; Paridae
Description: lncRNA (ENSPMJG00000010750.1)
Source: RNAcentral
UGAGAGCCCUAGAGGUGUUUAUCUUCCUCUUCUCGGAAUCAUGAAGCUUUUCAGUGAGUAUUUUCACAAGACAAGAGAAUUGUUCAUGAGUAUCUUGUAGAUCAGCAGUGUGAUUUGGGAGCAACUGACAAAAAACUAAAAGGAGAACAGAAAUGCUGCAUCUCCUAGGAUUCUCUAGCCUUUCUCUAUCUGUCCACUUCGAGAUCAUUGUCACUUUUUAUUUUGUCCCAUAUCAAAAAGAACAGCCUGUUAAUAGGUAACAAGAAUCUGGAAAGAUUUUUGCAAUGCUAUAAAUAGCCAGAGCAGUUCUCCAGCCAGCAAAAGCAGUCCUGUGUUUAUACCCAGAGAAUGUAGACAGAGAAAGAUAAUGGUUUGUUUUCUUUAGGUGGAAUGACUUUGGCAGUGAACAGUUGCAUUGUUACUAAUUUUACACAGUUGAAUAAGACAAUAAAAUCUUCAGAGUACAUUUCAAGACAGUUACAACACAGACUUAAAUACAUCUGAAAUACAGCAUCAUUUCAAGAUGAUUGCACAUAUUUUCAGAAUAUGUGCAAUCAUCAACAUACACACACAUAUAGAGCCACAGUGACUAACACUGACAGGGUGCUUCUUUUAUUUUCUUGGUUCUGCUGGGGCACUCCAUUGAAUGGCAACGCUCUGAACCUUGUGUUCAUACAAGAAUCUUGCAGAGCUGGGUUGGAUUAGCAUGUUGCACAUAUUUACACUGGAGUAACAUUACCUCUUUGUAAGUCUGCUUCUGCAUAAUGCCCAGCUUCCUCUACUUCAAACCACUCUUGUUCCAGUCCAUUCACCCCUCCAUAACUGCUUGGCACAGUUUCAGUUCGCCUCCCUGCCCUUAUUUUUUUUUUUUUUUUUCAGUAGGCUUUGUCAAGUCUGCUCCUAAAUCUUCCUGUUCAUUUUGUUUCAGGGUCAUAUCUGAGGUGGUUCAAAUUAAACAAAAAGAAAACCCAGGAGUUACAGGUCACUUGCUUUUAGAGCACCUCCUCAAGUUGGAGUGA